Molecule: ribosomal RNA, 1371 nt
Filed under: uncultured bacterium
Lineage: Bacteria
Description: bacterial SSU rRNA
Rfam family: Bacterial small subunit ribosomal RNA
Source: RNAcentral
GAUGAACGUUGGCGGCGUGCCUAAUACAUGCAAGUCGAGCGAACAGACGAGGAGCUUACUCCUCUGACGUUAGCGGCGGACGGGUGGGUAACACGUGGAUAACCUACCUAUAAGACUGGGAUAACUUCGGGAAACCGGAGCUAAUACCGGAUAACAUGUUGAACCGCAUGGUUCAACAGUGAAAGACGGUCUUGCUGUCACUUAUAGAUGGAUCCGCGUCGCAUUAGCUAGUUGGUAAGGUAACGGCUUACCAAGGCAACGAUGCGUAGCCGACCUGAGAGGGUGAUCGGCCACACUGGAACUGAGACACGGUCCAGACUCCUACGGGAGGCAGCAGUAGGGAAUCUUCCGCAAUGGGCGAAAGCCUGACGGAGCAACGCCGCGUGAGUGGAGAAGGUCUUCGGAUCGUAAAACUCUGUUAUUAGGGAAGAACAAAUGUGCAAGUAACUAUGCACGUCUUGACGGUACCUAAUCAGAAAGCCACGGCAACUACGUGCCAGCAGCCGCGGUAAUACGUAGGUGGCAAGCGUUAUCCGGAAUUAUUGGGCGUAAAGCGCGCGUAGGCGGUUUUUUAAGUCUGAUGUGAAAGCCCACGGCUCAACCGUGGAGGGUCAUUGGAAACUGGAAAACUUGAGUGCAGAAGAGGAAAGUGGAAUUCCAUGUGUAGCGGUGAAAUGCGCAGAGAUAUGGAGGAACACCAGUGGCGAAGGCGACUUUCUGGUCUGUAACUGACGCUGAUGUGCGAAAGCGUGGGGAUCAAACAGGAUUAGAUACCCUGGUAGUCCACGCCGUAAACAAUGAGUGCUAAGUGUUAGGGGGUUUCCGCCCCUUAGUGCUGCAGCUAACGCAUUAAGCACUCCGCCUGGGGAGUACGACCGCAAGGUUGAAACUCAAAGGAAUUGACGGGGACCCGCACAAGCGGUGGAGCAUGUGGUUUAAUUCGAAGCAACGCGAAGAACCUUACCAAAUCUUGACAUCCUCUGACCCCUCUAGAGAUAGAGUUUUCCCCUUCGGGGGACAGAGUGACAGGUGGUGCAUGGUUGUCGUCAGCUCGUGUCGUGAGAUGUUGGGUUAAGUCCCGCAACGAGCGCAACCCUUAAGCUUAGUUGCCAUCAUUAAGUUGGGCACUCUAAGUUGACUGCCGGUGACAAACCGGAGGAAGGUGGGGAUGACGUCAAAUCAUCAUGCCCCUUAUGAUUUGGGCUACACACGUGCUACAAUGGACAAUACAAAGGGUAGCGAAACCGCGAGGUCAAGCAAAUCCCAUAAAGUUGUUCUCAGUUCGGAUUGUAGUCUGCAACUCGACUACAUGAAGCUGGAAUCGCUAGUAAUCGUAGAUCAGCAUGCUACGGUGAAUACGUUCCCGGGUCU